GACGAACGCUGGCGGCGUGCUUAACACAUGCAAGUCGAACGAAGUGGCGAACGGGUGAGUAACGCGUAAUCAACCUGCCCUUCAGAGGGGGACAACAGUUGGAAACGACUGCUAAUACCGCAUACUGAAGGAGGGGAUUGCGUCUGAUUAGCUAGUGGGAGGGGUAACGGCCCACCAAGGCGAUGAUCGGUAGCCGGUCUUGGAGUCUGGACGGCCACAUUUGGACUGAGACCAGGCCCAGACUCCUACGGGAGGCAGCAGUGGGGAAGCUUCCGCAAUGGACGAAAGUCUGACGGAGCAACGCCGCGUGAGUGAUGACGGCCUUCGGGUUGUAAAGCGCUGUUAAUCGGGACGCGGUACCGGAAGAGAAAGCCACGGCUAACUACGUGCCAGCAGCCGCGGUAAUAC
This 408-nucleotide ribosomal RNA is filed under the name uncultured bacterium. RNAcentral's name for it is "partial 16S ribosomal RNA". It matches the Rfam family "Bacterial small subunit ribosomal RNA", at positions 28 to 526 of the family's 1533-position model. The record is from RNAcentral.